AGCUAUUAGAGUACCUCUUCUCUUUCGCUUGUAAAUAACCCCCUUCAAAAAAUAUCAACGAUGCGCUGGAGUCCGGGCUUCCCGACGUGCAGCGUCCUUCUUUGGCCUAAGGGGGCGCCAAACGCAAGUGUUUGUAGAAGGCAGAAUGUCGGCUAGGCGCAGAAAGCGGAGGCAGAAACAGGCGGAGCAAGGGUUUAAUGACGGCAAAGAUGCAAGGAAAACCUCAGACUGUGUGGACAGGCUGGCAUUCAAGUACAUGGAGAAGUGUAAAGUGGAAUCCAGCACAGACUCCGAGUCGGACACAAGCCCCGAGGGAUGUGCCUCCAGUACACCUGAGAGUGGAGCUACCAGGAAGGUGCUGUCUUUGGCGCAGCAACACAGAGGCCGGUCUUCCCUGCCAUCUUGGGACCCCUAUGACGGCAGCUCUGAGGACUCCUCGGAUACGUCCAGGUGUUCCCGGAGCCGAAUCCAGGGGGGCAGUGGAUUGAGGUCCAGGACCCGGUCAGUGACCGCCGUGCCAGCCUCCUCUCCCAAGGCCCCGGGGAAGAGAGGCGACUCUCUGAAACUGGGUGAAAUACAGCUGCCUUCUGAUGUCCAGAUGAAGUCCUCCAGUGACUCGGAGGUGAGAUUUGGGGAACCUGUGUCCCCAAGGGGUGGCAAGGACUGGAGGGAGAUGCCUGUGGACUCAGGAGUGCAUACAGAGGCUUCACUCUCCACACCCGGACAGUUUGCCUUCCUAAGCUUCACCCCAGCCCGGCUGCCCGCAAGCACCUCAUACAGGAGCUGGACUGGGUCUCUCAGAGCACACCCCAGAUCUGAGGAGGGGUCCCCCGGAAGUCCUGAGCCACUAGCGUUCCUCCCCAAGCGCAAGUCGGGGUUCCCUGGGGCCGAGUCUGGCGAACGCUGCCUCAGGAAGAAACAGCGCACAGUUGAACUGGAGGACACAGAGUGAAGAACUGAAAUCCUUUCUGCUGUUGAUGAACAACACAUAAUUGUCUGAAGCAGUUCAUGAUGCACUUACUUUCCCAAUGCACUUUUUGUUUUCCUUAGACAUUUGAGUUGUAUGAUUUUGAAAAUUGUUACAAUCACAAGGGUAAUCAAGGACCUUGUUUUUUUUGUGAAUGCGGUUUAUUUGCAUGAUAAAAAUCACACAAUAAAGUUUAUCAUGGGUGAA
Molecule: long non-coding RNA, 1174 nt
Filed under: Lepisosteus oculatus (spotted gar)
Lineage: Eukaryota; Metazoa; Chordata; Actinopteri; Semionotiformes; Lepisosteidae
Description: lncRNA (ENSLOCG00000022087.1)
Source: RNAcentral